GCGCCUGUAGCUCAGUGGCAGAGCAGUGCUCUUAUAAGGCAUUGGCCCCUGGUUCGAAUCCAGGCAGGCGCACAA
RNAcentral lists this transfer RNA (75 nucleotides) under Candidatus Harrisonbacteria bacterium CG10_big_fil_rev_8_21_14_0_10_40_38. Its description in RNAcentral is "tRNA-Ile". It matches the Rfam family "tRNA". From Rfam's summary of the family: Transfer RNA (tRNA) molecules are approximately 80 nucleotides in length. Their secondary structure includes four short double-helical elements and three loops (D, anti-codon, and T loops). Lineage: Bacteria; Candidatus Harrisoniibacteriota. The record is from RNAcentral.